Molecule: ribosomal RNA, 80 nt
Filed under: Nephroselmis pyriformis
Lineage: Eukaryota; Viridiplantae; Chlorophyta; Nephroselmidophyceae; Nephroselmidales; Nephroselmidaceae
Description: partial 5.8S ribosomal RNA
Rfam family: 5.8S ribosomal RNA
About the family: 5.8S ribosomal RNA (5.8S rRNA) is a component of the large subunit of the eukaryotic ribosome. It is transcribed by RNA polymerase I as part of the 45S precursor that also contains 18S and 28S rRNA. Functionally, it is thought that 5.8S rRNA may be involved in ribosome translocation.
Source: RNAcentral
GCAGAAUUCCGUGAAUCAUCGACUCUUAGAACGUAUAUUGCCCCCGAGGCCUCGGCCGAGGGCAUGUCUGCCUGAGCGUC